Molecule: long non-coding RNA, 2155 nt
Organism: Corvus hawaiiensis (hawaiian crow)
Lineage: Eukaryota; Metazoa; Chordata; Aves; Passeriformes; Corvidae
Exons: 2
Source: RefSeq, a predicted model, not a curated record
GCUGAGAGGAUCCCUCCUUGUCCUGCUGGCCUCCCCGCAGUCCGAAAAACCACACGGGGGUCCCGCUUCAGAGCCAGUCCCUGCCAGUCACCGUCUGCCCAAAUCCCCUCCCGGGCCCAGGGGCGCACGAGCAGCCCUGCCCAAGAGCCACCAACCCCACUCCGCCGAACCCGCCCCGGUGGGCUCAGCUCCGGCCGGAGAGAAGUGCUCGGGAGCUGGGCUGCCCUUCUCGCUCCCCUCAGAGCCGUUCUGGCUUCGGGGGAGCUCAGGGCUGAUCCUUGAGGGGGGCAAGCGGCCUCCUUCUACCCAAAGCGCAGGUCGUGUGGCAGCAGGGACAGCCCCAGUCCCUCCGGCAGGGAUGUCUCUCCUCCAGCAGGCCCAGGGAUGCGGCCGCGGCGGCUGUGGCAGUGAGUAAGCUCCCCCCCUUCCCUGUCCUACGCAGGCUGGCCUUGAACUUGACCCUGGCCUUGGCGCAUCCAGCCCGCAGCCCCUCUCCACCCGCCUCCCUCGUGCCCUGACCCCGGCCCGGCCCUGCCACGCUUAAGGGAGAGCGGUAAUUCAUCGGGUACAGGGGUUGGGGUUUUUUUAGGGGGUAGGGCAGCCAAGAUCCGCCUCACAGCCUUGAGCGCGGGUGGCCCGGGCUCAGAGACCACUGGCCCCGAUGUCCUCCUCUGCUCCUCUCUCCUUUGUCCACCUCGCCACCCUCACCCCCAAACCCCUACCUCCCCCCACUUUUGUCUCCCACACUGAAACUGAGCUUGUCAAACCUCCCUGCCCUGGCUCUGAAAACAACCUAGGAACCAAUCUGGAGGAGGCCUGAGGCUUCUCCGGCAGUCCUGACCCUGCCCUGGCACCCCACAAUCCCCUCAUGCCCAGCCACAGCGGGAGGGUGCCCCGGCCGGUGGCCCGCACGCCCCGACGACUCUGCCCCGGCGGCUCCCGGGUCGCCUCGGCCCCACGGUCUCCGCCGCCGGUGAGCAGUGGGAGGCACGGCGUUGCCCCGCUGUCGGCACCCCGUGCCCAGCUGUGGCAGCCCUACUUGGCCGGCUCUCCUGCUGCGGUGUGAUUCUUCCUUUAUACCGUGAAAAACAGCAUGGAGGCGUGGGUUUAAUUUUUAUUGUUAUUAUUAAUAAUGAAUUUCUCUCCUAACUCUUCCUGCGGACCCCCUGAAAAGACGGAUUGAUUUCCCUGGGAAUUACUCUCUCCUCUCAAGACAAAAAAUUUGAGUGUCCGUCCAUAAAACAGACUGUGCUUUGCCCCCCGCAGCCGCAAUUGGAGGGCAGCUCAGGGCUCUGCCUUCACCUGCCCCCGCUCUGUUUCACCUGGUCUGACUGCUCUAGUGGCUUUGGGUUGUAGCCGGUGGUGGCAGAAAAAACCGAACCCAAACCCAAAGGUAAACCAACCUUCCAACAAACAAACAGACAGGACACCAGCCCACACCGAAAGAGAAUAAAAUGCAGGAGUUCUCUCCUGAACCCGAGCGUGGAACGGCUGCUGAGCCUGGCGAUGCCGCUGGCGCUGCCGGUGCCGGCGGGGCUCCGCAGCGGGCACAGGGCUGCCCCUGCACGGCCAACCCCCCGCCGCCGGUGCCGGGGGGCAGCAGCCCGGGCCGCAGCCGCUCCGUUUGGCUCUGGCCAGACCUCCCCAGACCCGUAUCAGCCUUUUAAGUUUCCCCUUUGUUUUCAGAAACUCGUACACAUUUCCUGCCCGCUAUGAAGACAUAGCAGGCUCCCCCAAACCUCUCCCCAGCCGCAAGUGCACGCUAGACGUGCUCCCGGGCACAGCGAGGUUUUGGGUUUUUUUCCCUGUUGUUUUUUUGGUGUUUUCCUCUUCUCCCCGAGCCAGACGACCGGGGACGGAGCUGCAUAUUAGCAGUAGAGCAAGCAAGAACUAUUGUCCCACCCUGCAGGGCACGGUGCCCCCCUCUGUCCCAAAGUGCAAGUUUUCCCCAGUGCUUGGGGUUUCCUCUUUUUUAUUUCUUUUUCUUUUAAUUUUUAAAAAUUCAUUUUCUGGACGGUUUCUCUGUCUUUAAUACUUGAGGGGGAAAGAAAAGAAGAAAAGAGAAGAAGAAGGAGAAGGACAAGAAGACCGGGUGAGGGAGAACCUUCGCUAGAGGUUUAGUGUCUUUAAUAAAUACUUCAAAGUGGCUGCCUAA